AUUGAACGCUGGCGGCAGGCUUAACACAUGCAAGUCGAGCGAGCGGCGGACGGGUGAGUAAUGUAUGGGGACUGCCCGAUAGAGGGGGAUAACUACUGGAAACGGUGGCUAAUACCGCAUACUAUCGGAUAACCCAUAUGGGAUUAGCUAGUGGGUGGGGUAAAGGCUCACCUAGGCGACGAUCUCUAGCUGGUCUGAGAGGAUGAUCAGCCACACUGGAAGUGGGAAACGGCCAAGACUCCAACGGAGGCAGCAGUGGGGAAUAUUGCACAAUGGGCGCAAGCCUGAUGAAGCAAUGCCGCGUGUAGGAGGAGGGCCUUAGGGUUGUAAAGUACUUUCAGCGGGGAGGCGUUACCCGAAGAAGAAGCACCGGCUAACUCCGUGCAAGCAGCCGCGGUAAUAC
Molecule: ribosomal RNA, 403 nt
Filed under: uncultured bacterium
Lineage: Bacteria
Description: partial 16S ribosomal RNA
Rfam family: Bacterial small subunit ribosomal RNA
Source: RNAcentral